UCGAGAAUCUUCGGCAAUGGGCGCAAGCCUGACCGAGCGACGCCGCGUGGAGGAUGAAGGCCUUCGGGUUGUAAACUCCUGUCGAGGGGGAAGAAGGGUCGAAAGACCUUGACUGAUCCCUGGAGGAAGCACGGGCUAAGUUCGUGCCAGCAGCCGCGGUAAGACGAACCGUGCGAACGUUAUUCGGAAUCACUGGGCUUAAAGCGCGUGUAGGCGGGACGGCACGUCUGUCGCUGAAAUCCCCCGGCUUAACCGGGGAACUGGCGUAGAUACGACCGUCCUUGAGGGGCGUAGGGGGAUCUGGAACUUCCGGUGGAGCGGUGAAAUGCGUUGAGAUCGGAAGGAACGCCCGUGGCGAAAGCGAGGUCCUGGACGCCUACUGACGCUGAGACGCGAAAGCCAGGGGAGCGAACG
RNAcentral lists this ribosomal RNA (414 nucleotides) under uncultured bacterium. RNAcentral's name for it is "bacterial SSU rRNA". It matches the Rfam family "Bacterial small subunit ribosomal RNA", at positions 355 to 774 of the family's 1533-position model. The record is from RNAcentral.